Molecule: unclassified non-coding RNA, 407 nt
Filed under: soil metagenome
Description: partial contains 5.8S ribosomal RNA, internal transcribed spacer 2, and large subunit ribosomal RNA
Rfam family: 5.8S ribosomal RNA (bases 5-122)
Source: RNAcentral
GAUGGAAGAACGUAGCGAAAUGCGAUAAGUAAUGUGAAUUGCAGAAUUCAGUGAAUCAUCGAAUCUUUGAACGCACCUUGCGCCCUUUGGCCAUUCCGAAGGGCAUGCCUGUUUGAGUAUCAUGAACACCUCAACUCUUCAUGGUUUUCCGUGAUGAGCUUGGACUUUGGGGGUCUUGCUGGCCUAUGGUCAGCUCCUCUAAAAUAAAUCAGCUUGCCAGUGUUUGGUGGGUAUCACAGGUGUGAUAACUAUCUACGCUUGUGGUUUUCCACCAGGUAACCUUCAGCAGUGGAGGUUCGCUGGAGCUCACAGAUGUGUCUCUCCUCAGUGAGGACAGCUCUUUGAAUGUUUGAUCUCAAAUCAGGUAGGACUACCCGCUGAACUUAAGCAUAUCAAUAAGCGGAGGA